This 492-nucleotide long non-coding RNA is filed under the name Monodelphis domestica (gray short-tailed opossum). RNAcentral's name for it is "lncRNA (ENSMODG00000035777.2)". The record is from RNAcentral. Lineage: Eukaryota; Metazoa; Chordata; Mammalia; Didelphimorphia; Didelphidae.
GUGAAUUCUAGUGUGAAACAGAUACAAUUGGAAAAUCGAAAUAAUGUUGAUGGAAUUUAAUCAGAUGAGGAGACAGGGGAAAACAGAAUAAAAGACUUGCCCAGGAUCACAUGGCUGAAGCUCAAUUUGAACUCACAUCUCCCUGACUCCAGACCAGUGAUAUCCUAAAAAAAUUCCAGCAUAUACAACAACCACAAGAGAGGACCCACAAAAAAGGAGGAAUCAUGAAGCAAUGCAGAGAUGAAUCCAGGAAGACAUCAACACACAUGCAUAUGCACUUAUACAUAUAUAUGCAUGUGAAUCAAUCUCUUUCAACAAGUAAAAUGGAACAUAACUGCGCCAUGGGAAAUUACAAAAAUUAAGAAUUCAGAAAAACUUGGAAAGGCUCAUAGAAAUUGAUGCAAGGAUGAAUGAACAAGAUCAAGAAAUUAUAUAUACAUAUAUAUAUAUGUAUAUAUAUAUAUGAAGGAAAACAAUAUUAAACAAUUUUAU